GUAAAUUUCGAACGCGAUUUUAUUCCCGGUAAACUGUAUUCGAGUAAAAUAUCGUUGAAAAUUUAAAAUAUUUACAAAAAUGGACGUUUCUUUCAACGGAAAUUACAGACGGCGCCACUGGAUUUCUUCCGAUUUGAAAAAUGUUCCGUUAAAAUCGAACGGCCGAAAGACGUUUGACUCGACGACGAGAAGAAAAAUGGAAUACAUUUUCUGUCAUUAAUUCAUUUUGUGAAAGGCCAAUUGUUCCGAGGAGAAAUCGAAGAAAAGCUGUCGGCCAUUUAAAGUGUCGAUUCGAAGAAGAAAAUCUCUUUGACGAUUAUAUUAGAAAGGAAAAAAGAAGGAAGAUUUCCUCGGAAGCCGAAGACGAUUUCUCGGGUAACAUUUCGCGAAAUAUCGAAUGGCCCUAGAUUUUGGCUUGUGGAGUGGUAAAGAUUAUUGAAAGUGCUCUAAGUCUCUUCGUCGACUGAAGUUUCUUGAGUUAAUGUUGACGAACGUAGAUAAUUCUGUCAUUUUUUCUCCAGCAUUUUUCAAAUCACAAUUUUCGAGAAAAGGUUAGAAAUUAUUGAAGAAUUUGAAAUUAUAAAAACAAUCGAAGAUGUAAAUACGAAAAUGAAAGGAAAGGAUCUCCGUAAAAUACGAUUUCGAACCCGGCUUUAAUUUUAUGGCGUGACGUGUCCAAGAAAGAAUUUCUAAAAUUAUUUCAAUUGUUAUAUAAAAUAAUGUAUGACGUAAUUCUCGUAUCUGAUUUUAUUCCGAACUUUGUUAUUUUCAGAUUCACUUUCAACCAAUAAAGAACGUCUUUGUAAUAGAGAAUUGUUUCCGGGGACACACGAAAACUACUGAAGGAUGUGUUCGACUUCUGUCGUUAAAGAAACACUAAAAUUGAAGCCAGUGUUAAGAAAAUACACAAGAAUAUAACAACAAAGAAACCAUCUUUCCAGCAAAUGAAGAAAAAGAGAAAAAUUAAGAAGAUAUUUUAAAUUAUUUUCGAAUAUGUUAUUUUGCGACAUACACUUCACAUAAAUUGUUUAGAAAAAAAUGUAUAAAUGACAUUAAUUUGUGACUGUAUUGUAUUUGUACGCGUUUGGCAAUAUUUGUGAAUACCGGCGUAAGCAGUUUGUGUGUGAUCUAAGGUGUGAUGUGAUGUGAUCCAGUUAAUUGUAAGGUUUAAAUUUUAGUUUAAAGAAAUUUGAUAGAAGGAAAAGUCUUUUUGUAUCUGCACUCAAAACUUUAACAGUUCUUUAGAAUUAGUACGCUUAAAUUUAAACAUUUGAUUGACAAUAAAUUGAAGGGAGUUUUGAUCAUUAAGUUUUAAAAUUUCUGAUAUUUUACAGGUUUAAACCUCCAGAAGAGAAAGAAUGGGAAGUAUCGAUGUGACAGUUGCGAGAAAGAGUUCGCUUCGAAGUAUAAUUUAAAAUAUCAUCAAACGAUUCACACUGGAGAAGGGCUAUUGUCUUGCAAAUUUUGUACU
This is a long non-coding RNA of Centruroides sculpturatus (bark scorpion), 1471 nucleotides long. RefSeq lists it as uncharacterized. Lineage: Eukaryota; Metazoa; Arthropoda; Arachnida; Scorpiones; Buthidae. The transcript has 3 exons. The record is from RefSeq and is a predicted model, not a curated record.